This 756-nucleotide ribosomal RNA is filed under the name Flavobacterium sp. RNAcentral describes it as "bacterial SSU rRNA". It matches the Rfam family "Bacterial small subunit ribosomal RNA", at positions 90 to 849 of the family's 1533-position model. The record is from RNAcentral. Lineage: Bacteria; Pseudomonadati; Bacteroidota; Flavobacteriia; Flavobacteriales; Flavobacteriaceae.
UGAGACCGGCGCACGGGUGCGUAACGCGUAUGUAAUCUACCUUGUACAGGGGGAUAGCCCAGAGAAAUUUGGAUUAAUACCCCAUAGUAUUAUGAUGUGGCCUCACAUUAUGAUUAAAGUUCCAACGGUACAAGAUGAGCAUGCGUCCCAUUAGCUAGAUGGUAAGGUAACGGCUUACCAUGGCCACGAUGGGUAGGGGUCCUGAGAGGGAGAUCCCCCACACUGGUACUGAGACACGGACCAGACUCCUACGGGAGGCAGCAGUGAGGAAUAUUGGGCAAUGGUCGCAAGACUGACCCAGCCAUGCCGCGUGCAGGAUGACGCAUCUAUGGUGUGUAAACUGCUUUUGUACAGGAAGAAACACUCCCUUGCGAGGGAGCUUGACGGUACUGUAAGAAUAAGGAUCGGCUAACUCCGUGCCAGCAGCCGCGGUAAUACGGAGGAUCCAAGCGUUAUCCGGAAUCAUUGGGUUUAAAGGGUCCGUAGGCGGUUUUAUAAGUCAGUGGUGAAAUCUGGUCGCUCAACGAUCAAACGGCCAUUGAUACUGUAAGACUUGAAUUACUUGGAAGUAACUAGAAUAUGUAGUGUAGCGGUGAAAUGCUUAGAGAUUACAUGGAAUACCAAUUGCGAAGGCAGGUUACUACGAGUAUAUUGACGCUGAUGGACGAAAGCGUGGGGAGCGAACAGGAUUAGAUACCCUGGUAGUCCACGCCGUAAACGAUGGAUACUAGCUGUUUGGGGCAACCUGAGUGGCUA